Schizosaccharomyces pombe (fission yeast) is the source of this 805-nucleotide non-coding RNA. The record is from the annotation of a GenBank genome assembly. NCBI's taxonomy places the organism in Eukaryota, Fungi, Ascomycota, Schizosaccharomycetes, Schizosaccharomycetales, Schizosaccharomycetaceae.
AUCAGUCAAUUUGCAUUCACGUAUUUAGGAGCAAGUGUAUCAUUUCUUUGACAUAAAUGUAAAGCUGGCAUGAAGGAAAGAGGCUCAACGCAUAGUGACAAACUUAAACCCUUAUAAUUCAUUAAUACUCGGGCAAUUGCAUGGGCUCAAGGGCUAACAAAACAUCAAAUACAAUAUUUUGAGCUUUAGAAAAGAUUUUCAGCUUGCCGGACGAUGUUAGAAUGGCACAAUCAGUGUUCACUUUGGAAAGUGAGAAUACUGAGUUUGUCAAAUCUAAAGAAGUACACCUUUUGAUAUGUUCCAUAAGAAUUGGGUAGAAAAAUGAGGAGCUACGGAAAAUUUUUUUUAAAUCUUCAGGUCUUAUGGAAAUUGUGACUGAUGAAAGAUUAGGAUUUCCGGUUGUCCAGGUCAACUCAAGCGGGAGGGCUGUUUGACUAUUUACAUGAUUUUGCCAAAUUUUCAAAAACUCUAAAAGUAUUUCUGGAGCAAUUAGGCAUGGUAAAAUUUGUGUAUCAAAUUCCUGCUGGAGGAACUGCUCAACGGCCAUCCAUAGCGCCCCAUCCAUACGAACAAGAGCUAAUGAAAAGAAUACAGAAUUCCCUUCAAGCGAUAAACGUGUUCUGUCAGCCUCCGCGUGGGAGAACUUCCGAAAUGACUCGAAGAAAAACAUCUGGCCUUUGCGUUUCACCUCUAAAUCACUAGACGUCUCAUACGAAAUAUCCAGCUUUAAAAAUUUAGGGAAACUAGAUGUGUUUCCGAACUCCGUAAACGUAGCUUUCUCAAUUAUCAAGUCAGCAAACCUAGU